GAUGAAGAACGUAGCGAAAUGCGAUAAGUAAUGUGAAUUGCAGAAUUCAGUGAAUCAUCGAAUCUUUGAACGAACAUUGCGCCCGCCAGUAUUCUGGCGGGCAUGCCUGUUCGAGCGUCAUUACAACCCUCAGGCCCCCGGGCCUGGCGUUGGGGAUCGGCGGAGCCCCCCGUGGGCACACGCCGUCCCCCAAAUACAGUGGCGGUCCCGCCGCAGCUUCCAUCGCGUAGUAGCUAACACCUCGCGACUGGAGAGCGGCGCGGCCACGCCGUAAAACACCCAACUCUUCUGAAGUUGACCUCGAAUCAGGUAGGAAUACCCGCUGAACUUAAGCAUAUCAAUAAGCGGAGGA
RNAcentral lists this unclassified non-coding RNA (352 nucleotides) under soil metagenome. RNAcentral's name for it is "partial contains 5.8S ribosomal RNA, internal transcribed spacer 2, and large subunit ribosomal RNA". The stretch from base 1 to 120 matches the Rfam family "5.8S ribosomal RNA", at positions 35 to 154 of the family's 154-position model. The record is from RNAcentral.